ACUCCUACGGGAGGCAGCAGUGGGGAAUAUUGCACAAUGGGGGAAACCCUGAUGCAGCCAUGCCGCGUGUGUGAAGAAGGCCUUCGGUUGUAAGCACUUUCAGUAGGGAGGAAGGUAGUGUAGUUAACACCUGCAUUAUUUGACGUUUACCUACAGAAGAAGCACCGGCUAACUCCGUGCCAGCAGCCGCGGUAAUACGGAGGGUGCGAGCGUUAAUCGGAAUUACUGGGCGUAAAGCGCAUGCAGGCGGCCUGUUAAGUCAGAUGUGAAAGCCCGGGGCUAACCUCGGAAUUGCAUUUGAAACUGGCAGGCUAGAGUCUUGUAGAGGGGGUAGAA
This 336-nucleotide ribosomal RNA is filed under the name uncultured bacterium. Its description in RNAcentral is "bacterial SSU rRNA". It matches the Rfam family "Bacterial small subunit ribosomal RNA", at positions 335 to 665 of the family's 1533-position model. The record is from RNAcentral.